RNAcentral lists this ribosomal RNA (1662 nucleotides) under Syngnathus floridae (dusky pipefish). RNAcentral describes it as "16S ribosomal RNA". It matches the Rfam family "Bacterial large subunit ribosomal RNA". The record is from RNAcentral. Lineage: Eukaryota; Metazoa; Chordata; Actinopteri; Syngnathiformes; Syngnathidae.
CACUGCAAAACUAGCCCACCAUCCAAAACCAACUUUUACAUAUUUAUAAACCCCUAUUCACAUAAAUUUAGAUAACAAACCAUUUUUCCACCCUAGUACGGGAGACAGAAAAGGAAUAAGGAGCAACAGAACUAGUACCGCAAGGGAAAAGUGAAAGAGAAAUGAAACAAAUCAAUUAAGUACAGAAAAGCAGAGGUUUACCCUCGUACCUUUUGCAUCAUGUUUUAGCAAGUAACCAUUAAGCAAAGAGCCCUUUAGUUUGACACCCCGAAACUAAGCGAGCUACUCCGAAGCAGCUAAUAAAUGAGCCAACCCAUAUCUGUGGCAAAAGAUUGGGAAGACUUCUGAGUAGAGGUGAUAAGCCAACCGAGCCUAGUGAUAGCUGGUUGCCUGGGAAAUGAGUAGAAGCUCAGCCUGAUUAUUCCCCCAUUCCUGACUCUCUUAACAAGAUAAAUGUGAGUAAUUAGAGCUAAUCAAACAAGGUACAGCUUGUUUGAUAUAAGAAACAACUUUCUUUAGGAGGUUAAAGACCAAAAUUUUGAAGACCUGAGUGUUUUAGUGGGCUUAAAAGCAGCCAUCUAAGUAGAAAGCGUUAAAGCUCAAGCACUUAAUGAUCACAUAUACCGCCAAAAACUCUUCAUCCCCUUAACCUACCAGGCUUUCCUAAACCCUUAGGAGUGAUAAUGCUAAUAUGAGUAAUAAGAGAGACGCCUCUCUCCCUGCCCAAGUGUACCUCGGAACGAACCCCCACCGAAAAUUAACGGCCCCAAAUCAAAGAGGGUAUUGCAUAACAAUCAUAACACAAGAAAAACAAACACCAACCCACCGUUAACCCCACACUGGAGCGCUAAUAGGGAAAGACUAAAAGGAAAAGAAGGAACUCGGCAACCCCAAGCCUCGCCUGUUUACCAAAAACACCGCCUCUUGCACCCUGCGUAUAAGAGGUCCCGCCUGCCCUGUGACUAUGUGUUCAACGGCCGCGGUAUUUUGACCGUGCAAAGGUAGCGCAAUCACUUGUCUUUUAAAUAAAGACCUGUAUGAAUGGCAUAACGAGGGCUUAACUGUCUCCUUUACCCGGUCAAUGAAAUUGAUCUCCCCGUGCAGAAGCGGGGAUAUUAAUAUAAGACGAGAAGACCCUGUGGAGCUUCAGACAAUAGGGGGAUUUUAUGUAGUAAACCUAAGCAGGGCACAAACAAGUUCACACUCCUCCCAAUGUCUUCGGUUGGGGCGACCACGGAGUAAAAAGUAACCUCCACGAGGAUUAAGGAAUUGACCUUAAAACCUAGAACGACAGUUCAAAGAAGCAAAAUUUUUGACCUAAGGAUCCGGCACAGCCGAUCAACGAACCGAGUUACCCCAGGGAUAACAGCGCAAUCCCCUUCAAGAGUCCCUAUCGACAAGGGGGUUUACGACCUCGAUGUUGGAUCAGGGUAUCCUAAUGGUGUAGCCGCUAUUAAGGGUUCGUUUGUUCAACGAUUAAAACCCUACGUGAUCUGAGUUCAGACCGGAGUAAUCCAGGUCAGUUUCUAUCUAUAGUGCCCUCUUUUCUAGUACGAAAGGACCGAGAAGAGAGGGCCUAUGCCUAAGACAAGCCCUCCCCCCACCCAUUGAAGUAUCUUAAAUGGACAAAGGGGCUCAAAACACACCAGUAAAUAACUGCAU